GUCGGAGUAAUUAACUAUGUUUUUUUUAAAUGCGCUAAAGCAGAUAAACGGUGUGCUCCCAUGUGGACAUAUAGGAAAGCUACCGUUCGUCUUCUAUGAAAUUAGCUCCCUGGCUAACCAUCUGGCUAACGACUCUUGCGGGGCCCUUCUUUGUGAUGCAGGAGCAGGCAAUAAUUAAUAUCGCCAUGCAAUAACAGCAAGCAGAUUUACGCAUGUACCUCAGCCCUGAACACAUAUGCACACAGUUUGGAUGCUAUCGCCAAUAUUGCCUCUAUUCUAAUGAUGGAAGCCAAAAAGAAGAAGUGCAGAGCUGAGGGUCAAGUGUUCUCGCCAUGUCUGGGCAUGCAGUCAUUGAUGUGCAGCGUGAACAGGAGGUAGCUGAGCACCUAAACCACGGGGGCUCUGGUGUUGAGUGGGGAAGAUGUGACUGCCAACCCAAAGUGUCUGCGGUCUGUUUGUAAGGAAGACCAAUAACCAAUUCCAGGGAGUGGCACUCAAGCUCAGAAUGCUAAUCAGUGUGGCAGUAUUGAAUAUAGAGCUGAGAGCAACAGCUUUCUAAUGCAGGUGUUGUUAUUUUCAAGGUGUACGAGGACAGCUCAGCUCAGCAGCUGCAGAGGCUGCCUGGAGAUAGUCACCAAGACGCAUCUUUGUUACCUUAAUAGAGACUGGUGCUGGUGCUGCUUUCUCCUCAUUUUCAUUCUUAAGGUUAAGCUGAGUAAAACAUUUGCUGCCAGUAGCAUCUCAUUAAUCACAGCAAGUGCUAUCAAUCUUUUCAUUUGAC
This is a long non-coding RNA of Oreochromis niloticus (Nile tilapia), 781 nucleotides long. RefSeq lists it as uncharacterized. NCBI's taxonomy places the organism in Eukaryota, Metazoa, Chordata, Actinopteri, Cichliformes, Cichlidae. The record is from RefSeq and is a predicted model, not a curated record. The transcript has 3 exons.